RNAcentral lists this long non-coding RNA (1345 nucleotides) under Felis catus (domestic cat). Its description in RNAcentral is "lncRNA (ENSFCAG00000040758.2)". The record is from RNAcentral. Lineage: Eukaryota; Metazoa; Chordata; Mammalia; Carnivora; Felidae.
ACAUCUUUAUAUCUAUAAAUAUAUGUAGUGCUCCUUUUAAAGUAGUAUAAAGGGUUUUUAAGAAUUAUUAUUUGGGGGCGCCUGGGUGGCGCAGUCGGUUAAGCGUCCGACUUCAGCCAGGUCACGAUCUCGCGGUCCGGGAGUUCGAGCCCCGCGUCGGGCUCUGGGCUGAUGGCUCAGAGCCUGGAGCCUGUUUCCGAUUCUGUGUCUCCCUCUCUCUCUGCCCCUCCCCCGUUCAUGCUCUGUCUCUCUCUGUUCCAAAAAUAAAUAAACGUUGAAAAAAAAAAUUAAAAAAAAAAAAAGAAUUAUUAUUUGUUCAAUGGAAACAGCUUAGAAUAGGAUGGGGCAGGGAACAUUCCAAGGGUUAAAAGAAGGGAGCCAAUCGCAAAGAGGGAUGGGAAAAGGUAUGGCUGCGGAGAGUGAGGGCAGAGGCAUCUCUGGCCCUGGAUGAGACACUAUGGGUCAAAGCCCUGCAUCUAGAGUAACACUUUGUCCCCUGAUCCUGUCCUCACUCCAUUAUUGCAUCACCUCUGUCUCUGGUUGAUGCUGUGAUGAGGUUAGAACCCUUGAUAGCUUUUUUUUCUUUUUGUAUCUGAACGGUGGUUUUACUGACCAAUAUGUUCCUGGAUAAGGACUCCAAGCCCAGAGUACACAGUUAAAGCAACUACUUUGUUUCCAAAAAGAAAGUACACAAGGAAUCCCGAGUGUCCCCCACUAAUGUGAGAGCUUGACCCCCGACCGGUCUCCACCCAGUUCUGGUCUCCACCCAGCUAGAGAAAAACGUCCUCUAGCUGGCCAGUCUGUCAUCCACUGUGACACCUGCUUACAAGGCAGGCGUGGCAUCGACCGACAUCUGCUCACCGUCCAAGCACCAGGUAUGGGCUGAGCAGCUCCGCAAGCACGUUUGCCAGAUGCUCUCGUUUGCGUUAAAAUCGAACGUGCGCGCUGACACAUGGCUGCUGGCCGCGGAUCUCGAAUUAGAACACCCUUGGAUCAAAUAACCUGGCAGAGGAAAGUUCUCGUGGCCCCCCGUCUACGACAAGUUCUCUGCCGGGAUCACGUUCAGGACAUUCCCAAGGGCGAAGGAUGCGGGUCCACUUGUCCUCUCUGUCUGUCACAUCAAAGUAGCCGGUGCCAAGAUGUAGCGGAUCUCGUCGUCCGGGUGCAGCGUCAAGCUUCCAGUAAAGAACCCCGAGCAGGCGCAGGUGCUCCAGGCGAACCAGGCCGCAGGGCUCGCUGCGGUGGGGCAGCCUCGGGUCGUCGACCGACUUGUCCACGUACGAGGCCUGCCCCAUGGCCGGGCGGAGGACGCAGCGAAGGAGGAGCCAAAUCCUUGAUAGCUUAA